UGGUUUUUUUAACGGGUUAACGCGUGGAUGAGGAAGGCUCCGCCUACUUUCCACGAAAUCAACCUUAAUUUACUUUUGCGGACGCAAGGGGAAAUUUGAGAUCGAGAGGGAAGCAUGCUACCGAAGAAACUGAAUAUUGCUGCUGCUCUUGUAGGUCAUCGCCGGAAAAAGAGAGAAGAAGAGAGAGAGAGAAAGAGAGCAUUUCUAGAGAAUGGAGGGCUUGUAUUGGAGAAGCUGGUUGCCUCUUGUAAUGGCAGGCCUAUUCCCAUCCGUACCUUCUCCUAUCAAGACCUUAUCUUGGCAACCAAUAACUUCGAUCAUCGCCUUAUUCUACAUGAAGAUGAAGACUCGGGGUUUCAAGUUUACAAGGGUUCUUUUGAGGGCCGAAUACUUUGCAUUAAGAGUUAUAAUAGAAAGAUGUCCUCCCCAAAGGGCUGGGCCCUAAUGGAUAUAGGUAUUUCUGCAAAGAUGAGCGCUCACAAAAAUAUUCAAAAACUGGUAGGAUGCUGUCUCGAGACUUCGAUUCCGACUAGAGUGUAUGAAUAUGCUCAAAAUGGAGUCCUUGCCGAUCGAAUUUAUAUCUCUAAACGAAAAGGUACGCCUAUGGUGUGGCAGAGCAGGUUAAAGAUUGCAAGACAGAUUGCUCAUGCAAUUGCAUAUCUCCACACUGCCUUCUCCAGACCCAUCAUUCAUAGAGAUAUAAAACCGCAAAAUAUCUUAUUACACCAGUAUGAUGUUCCCAAACUCGCAGAUUUUUCAUUUUCUAUUUCAAUUCCUGAGGGUAAAACUCACGUGGAGGAUGAGGUGUGUGGGACUCAGGGUUUCUUAUGCCCUAUCUAUUUAUUGACAAAUAUGAUAACAGAGAAAACUGAUGUCUAUAGCUUCGGUAUGGUUCUAUUACAUAUUUUAACUGGACAGUAUAAUUAUGGUCAAGAGGCGGAAUUAGCUUCUGAAAACAUUGACAUGCGGAAGAAUAAUUCUCUUGAAGGCCAUGAAAAGUUGGUGGAUUCUUUGAGAAAUCGUGCUCUAAAUGAGAUUGUGGAUCCUGCAAUCUUGGAGGAGGAAGGAGGAGCUGGUUUGGAGCCGCAAUUGCAAGCUGUGCUAGAGCUUGGUCUAACAUGCACAGAGUACGAUCCAGAGAUAAGGCCGACAAUGGUGAAUGUUACGAAAGAACUCAGGCGGAUUGAGAGGAUUGUUUUUUGACUCAUGCAAAAGGCUGAAGAUCAUGCCGGGCUCUGAUGCCAAUGGCUUAGGAAACAUGGAGGCCUUGAAACCAGGAAAACAGGUGGCUGCAAAGUCUUCUAGGGUCAGCUGUAGAUGUGCAGCUAGAUCAUGUGCAGACUGUGGGAUUUGGUGAUUUCUGUUUAUGGAAGGCUGAAGAUGAUGAAUGCUGAAACAUGUGCUGAUGCAGAUAAGAGAGGACUGAAAUGGUGUGUCACGAGCUGGUCUAGCUACUGCUGAAGAAAUUGUUCACCGGGUAACGGCUACUAGCCGUUACUUGGUGAUUUCUGCAUGAUCUUGAUGUUCUACCUUAAUACUCCCAUCGGUCUGCACAGCAAUGGCAGGCCUAUUCCAAUCCGCACCUUCUCCUAUCAAGAGCUUAGCCGAGCUUCGGGUUUCUCAGCGAGCACAGCUUAAAGCUUUCUUCUUCCGUUGCUUUCUGCUUACUGAAAGGGCCUUGAGCUCUCUCUCUCUCUCUCUCUCUCUCUCUCUCUCUCUCUCUCCCUGCUCCGCUCUCUGCUUUUGCAUCUCUUCGUCUCGUGCAUUUUCUUAAGGAUUUCAAAAGCGUUGAUUGGCCAUCUCUUCCU
Alnus glutinosa is the source of this 1808-nucleotide RNA transcript. It is a transcript of the gene named serine/threonine-protein kinase ZRK1-like, with no coding region annotated. The record is from RefSeq and is a predicted model, not a curated record. Lineage: Eukaryota; Viridiplantae; Streptophyta; Magnoliopsida; Fagales; Betulaceae. The transcript is spliced from 3 exons.